UAUUUGUACAAACUCAGCUAUUCAGAUUGCAUUUGUAAUUUAUGGUAUAGUGUGUGAGUCAUCCUUUCAUGCAUUCCAAACUAAAGAUUUAAUUUUUUUUAAAACAGGAUUGAGGCAUAGAAGAAAAUUUCCACAUGACGCUCCAGUCCUUCACCCGCAGCUAAAAUAUGAAAGAGUGCCUAUGGAAAAAGCAUUUGGAUUCGCUAGAACCAACUGCAGUGCUUUGGUCCAUCACACAAGGUAAGAACAGUAGCAGUGAACACUCCCCCCAUCUCCCUUUUUGC
Molecule: long non-coding RNA, 284 nt
Filed under: Chrysemys picta bellii (western painted turtle)
Lineage: Eukaryota; Metazoa; Chordata; Testudines; Emydidae
Description: lncRNA (ENSCPBG00000024284.1)
Source: RNAcentral